This 253-nucleotide ribosomal RNA is filed under the name uncultured bacterium. Its description in RNAcentral is "partial 16S ribosomal RNA". It matches the Rfam family "Bacterial small subunit ribosomal RNA", at positions 524 to 776 of the family's 1533-position model. The record is from RNAcentral.
UACGUAGGGUGCGAGCGUUAAUCGGAAUUACUGGGCGUAAAGCGUGCGCAGGCGGAUUGUUAAGCAAGAUGUGAAAUCCCCGGGCUUAACCUGGGAAUGGCGAUGGAGACUGCAAGGCUAGAAUCUGGCAGAGGGGGGUAGAAUUCCACGUGUAGCAGUGAAAUGCGUAGAGAUGUGGAGGAACACCGAUGGCGAAGGCAGCCCCCUGGGCUAAGAUUGACGCUCAUGCACGAAAGCGUGGGGAGCAAACAGG